RNAcentral lists this ribosomal RNA (590 nucleotides) under uncultured bacterium. RNAcentral's name for it is "partial 16S ribosomal RNA". It matches the Rfam family "Bacterial small subunit ribosomal RNA", at positions 355 to 1376 of the family's 1533-position model. The record is from RNAcentral.
UGGGGAAUAUUGGACAAUGGGCGCAAGCCUGAUCCAGCAAUGCCGCGUGUGUGAAGAAGGCCUUCGGGUUGUAAAGCACUUUUAUCAGGAGCGAAACGCUGUCGGCUAAUACCCGGCGGAACUGACGGUACCUGAGGAAUAAGCACCGGCUAACUUCGUGCCAGCAGCCGCGGUAAUACGAAGGGUGCAAGCGUUAAUCGGAAUUACUGGGCGUAAAGCGUGCGUAGGCGGUUUCUUAAGUCUGCUGUGAAAUCCCCGGGCUCAACCUGGGAAUGGCAGUGGAUACUGGGAGGCUAGAGUGUGUCAGAGGGUGGUGGAAUUCCCGGUGUAGCGGUGAAAUGCGUAGAGAUCGGGAGGAACAUCAGUGGCGAAGGCGGCCACCUGGGACAACACUGACGCUGAGGCACGAAAGCGUGGGGAGCAAACAGGAUUAGAUACCCUGGUAGUCCACGCCGUAAACGUUGGGCGCAUAGAUGUGGGGACCAUUCCACGGUUUCCGUGUCGCAGCUAACGCAUUAAGCGCCCCGCCUGGGGAGUACGGCCGCAAGGCUAAAACUCAAAUGAAUUGACGGGGUCAUAGCUGUUUCCUG